AUGCCCUACUUUCAUGGAAAAACUGACGGACUUUUUUUUUUAUAUUUUCAGAUGCAGAUCCGAAGACAAUUGUUUGCGCUUUCUUCAAGCAUGGUCAGUGUGCCAAAGGAAAACAAGUGCAAGUUUUCUCAUGACUUGGCAAUGGAGCGUAAGGCAGAGAAGCGUAGUCUCUACGUGAUGGCCGUGACAAUGAUGAUAAAGGUGAAGACUCGAUGGAUAAACUGGGAUGAGGCGAAAUUGAAGGAAGUUGUCGAGAGAAAAAACACGGUGAAUCAAAAACUCCGACAACAACAAUAAUCUGCAAAUUUUUCCUAGAAGCUGUUGAGAAAAGCAAAUAUGGUUGGUUUUGGACCUGUCCCAACGGACCUAGCUGUAUUUAUCGUCAUGCUUUGCCUCCAGGAUUUGUCUUAAAGAAGGUACUAAAGUUAAUGUCUUAUUAUUAUCGCUGUUUUUGUGGUUGUGGUCGUUGUUCAUUAUUGUUGUUGUUGUUGCUUUUGUUGUCAUUUUGUCUAAGAAUCUUCUAAAUGUCACUAAUGUGUAAGACCAUGAGGAAGAGAAAAGGAAAAAAAAAAUGGUACUAGUAGACAUUAUCCACCAAAUAACAUCGGUCUACAUUGGAGCCAUUUUUUAGUAAGUAAGUAGAACAUGGGUAUAAAAAAUUAAAGUAAAAAAAUGAAAAGUAAAAUGCAGCACCAGAAGAAAGAUACCUACACAUUUUAUGAAAUUUUUGAAACUAAAUUUGUAUAACAAAGAACGACAUGAAGUGAAAAUAAAUUUUUAAAGCGAUUCUCCCUCACUUUCGGAGAUUGUCUCAGUGCAGUGAUCCAUGCCUAAGCUGGCAUCAGAGAUUUCUGAUGAUAUUGCAUCAGCCCUCGUGUAAAAAUCUGUCCAUAGUUAGUCAAGCUCCAAGCUGACUGUAUAGCGUACCACCAUUUUUUUCACAUAAAGUCCAUUUUAUGCAGCAAAAUCUCUUGUUCUUCCCAGCUAUCAAUUAAUAAUUAAUUGAUUUAAAUUGCAUCCGAAAGGAAUAAUAUUUUAAAAACAUCAAGAACAAUACUUGAGAAAGACUAAUAGAAUCACACAAGAUAGUUUAUUUAGGCAAGGUUUUCACAUCUCUCCCCGGGCAUCUUUAAUUACUG
This 1139-nucleotide long non-coding RNA is filed under the name Bemisia tabaci. RNAcentral's name for it is "lncRNA ENSSWEETPG009716". The record is from RNAcentral. Lineage: Eukaryota; Metazoa; Arthropoda; Insecta; Hemiptera; Aleyrodidae.